Molecule: ribosomal RNA, 252 nt
Filed under: uncultured bacterium
Lineage: Bacteria
Description: partial 16S ribosomal RNA
Rfam family: Bacterial small subunit ribosomal RNA
Source: RNAcentral
UACGGAGGAUGCGAGCGUUAUCCGGAUUUAUUGGGUUUUAAGGGUGCGUAGGCGGGAUGCCAAGUCAGCGGUAAAAAUGCGGUGCUCAACGCCGUCGAGCCGUUGAAACUGGCGUUCUUGAGUGGGCGAGAAGUAUGCGGAAUGCGUGGUGUAGCGGUGAAAUGCAUAGAUAUCACGCAGAACUCCGAUUGCGAAGGCAGCAUACCGGCGCCCUACUGACGCUGAGGCACGAAAGCGUGGGUAUCGAACAGG